AUAACUGGGCGUAAAGGGUACGUAGGCUUUUUGGUAGGUUUUCGGUGAAAGUCACAGGCUUAACUUGGUGAAUUGCCGGAAAAACUGCAGAGAUUGAAUCCGAAAGGGGAAAGCAGAAUUCCUGGUGUACCGGUGAAAUGCGUAGAUAUCAGGAGGAAUACCAGUGGCGAAGNCGGCUUUCUGGUUCGGAAUUGACGCUGAUGUACUAAAGCGUGGGUAGCAAACAGGAUUAGAUACCCUGGUAGUCCACGCCUUAAACUAUGGAUACUUGAUGUCGGGGCGUUCGGUCGACCCGGUGUCGUAGCUAACGUGUUAAGUAUCCCGCCUGGGGACUACGGUCGCAAGACUGAAACUCAAAGGAAUUGACGGGGGCCCGCACCAGCGGUGGAACAUGUGGUUUAAUUCGAUGCAACGCGAAGAACCUUACCUGGGCUUGACAUAUAUAUGGCGUAUGUAAGAAAUUAUGUAUUCUGUCUGUUUUUUCAGGUAGCAUAUAUACAGGUGAUGCAUGGCUGUCGUCAGCUCGUGUCGUGAGAUGUAGGGUUAAGUCCCUUAACGAGCGCAACCCUUGCUUUUAGUUGCCAUCAGGUAAUGCUGGGGACUCUAGAAGGACUGCCGAGGUUAACUCGGAGGAAGGUGGGGAUGACGUCAAGUCAGUAUGUCCCUUAUGUCCAGGGCUACACACGUGUUACAAUGGUCGGUACAGAGGGCAGCUAGGCAGCGAUGUCAUGCUAAUCCCGAAAGCCGGUCCCAGUUCGGAUUGGAGUCUGCAACCCGACU
RNAcentral lists this ribosomal RNA (780 nucleotides) under uncultured organism. Its description in RNAcentral is "bacterial SSU rRNA". It matches the Rfam family "Bacterial small subunit ribosomal RNA", at positions 550 to 1317 of the family's 1533-position model. The record is from RNAcentral.